Molecule: ribosomal RNA, 497 nt
Filed under: uncultured bacterium
Lineage: Bacteria
Description: partial 16S ribosomal RNA
Rfam family: Bacterial small subunit ribosomal RNA
Source: RNAcentral
GAUGAACGCUGGCGGCGUGCCUAAUACAUGCGAGUCGAGCGAACGGACGAGAAGCUUGCUUCUCUGAUGUUAGCGGCGGACGGGUGAGUAACACGUGGAUAACCUACCUAUAAGACUGGGAUAACUUCGGGAAACCGGAGCUAAUACCGGAUAAUAUUUUGAACCGCAUGGUUCGAAAGUGAAAGACGGUCUUGCUGUCACUUAUAGAUGGAUCCGCGCUGCAUUAGCUAGUUGGUAAGGUAACGGCUUACCAAGGCAACGAUGCAUAGCCGACCUGAGAGGGUGAUCGGCCACACUGGAACUGAGACACGGUCCAGACUCCUACGGGAGGCAGCAGUAGGGAAUCUUCCGCAAUGGGCGAAAGCCUGACGGAGCAACGCCGCGUGAGUGAUGAAGGUCUUCGGAUCGUAAAACUCUGUUAUUAGGGAAGAACAUAUGUGUAAGUAACUGUGCACAUCUUGACGGUACCUAAUCAGAAAGCCACGGCUAACUACGUG